GGCUGGUCCGAAGGUAGUGAGUUAUCUCAAUUGACUGUUCACAGUCAGUACAGAUUGAACUCCUUGUUCUACUCUUUUUCCCCCGUCUCAUUACUGCACUUCACUAGUCUUAA
RNAcentral lists this Y RNA (113 nucleotides) under Cavia aperea (Brazilian guinea pig). RNAcentral describes it as "Y RNA (ENSCAPG00000004032.1)". It matches the Rfam family "Y RNA". Rfam says of the family: Y RNAs are components of the Ro ribonucleoprotein particle (Ro RNP), in association with Ro60 and La proteins. The Y RNAs and Ro60 and La proteins are well conserved, but the function of the Ro RNP is not known. Lineage: Eukaryota; Metazoa; Chordata; Mammalia; Rodentia; Caviidae. The record is from RNAcentral.